Long non-coding RNA from Gavialis gangeticus (Gharial), 1390 nucleotides. RefSeq lists it as uncharacterized. The record is from RefSeq and is a predicted model, not a curated record. The transcript has 4 exons. NCBI's taxonomy places the organism in Eukaryota, Metazoa, Chordata, Crocodylia, Gavialidae.
UCUUCCGGGUUCCUUCACAGAAAGGUUCCUUACAGGAGUAAUGAAUAGUAACAGAAGCAUGCACUUCAAGUCUCUGCUUUCAGCAGCAAUAGCAGACAGGCAAGUCAAUGGCAGAAAGGGAGAAGAGCUGCAGAAGACAAGGCUGCAACUCGGUCCAGCAGCAGCUUGGCUUUUGUAUCCUCUCUUCCUUCUAAAAGGGUAUUUGGAAGUUAAGGGAAGUUCUAUGAUGACAGAAACAGCUGGCAGGAGGAGAUGGGAAUAACUAUAAAGAAGCAAUUUUCUUGUGAUGUUUGGUGGCUUCUGAAAACCCUGGAUGUUGGAGUCAAGUGAAGACAUGGGAAGUUUAACUUUCAUUUUUUUUUAAUAAUAAAGCAUACUUUUAUCUGUUGUGGUUGUGGUGGAUGCUUUAAAAUGUGACUGAAGCCUCUGAAGCUAAUUGGCAAAUAAAAAGACCUGCCCCAACACACUUUUCUUUGUUGUUUUUAAUUCUAUGAUUAGUGAAUGAUUGGGGUUAGUAAUCCCCAAUUUUUCUUACAAUUCUUUAUAAGAUUAUUAUUCUUUAUAACAUUAUUAAAGAAUUAUUCUUUCUUUAUUUAAAAUAUACUUUUCUUUCCAUGUUCUUGGUACAGAAGAGUUUAUAGCUCAGGUGUGAAGAUACUGUAGCUUAUGCAAAGUAAUUAAUUAUUUACAACAAAAAUUAAUAGGCUUGUGUUCUUUGCAUUUCUGAUACCAUAAUGAUCAACUGAGCAAAAGAACAUAAGCUGAAUAGAAAUAGAAUGGAGGGGGCAGGGAGGGUGAGGAAGAAGACAGAUCAUAAGACCAUCUUUUGAAAUAAUUAAUUCAACAAAAUCUCAGCUGUAUAAAUAGUACAAAUCACUGCAAGAUCUAAGAAUAUUAAAGUUUUAAAACUAUGUUGGAUUCCUUUAUGUAAUUUCAGAUUGCAUCUAAGAGCAGACUCUCAUGGAAAAUUGUUCUUUCACUGAUAGUUAAUUCACACAUUUUAAAGCGAUUUAUUCUCUGUCUUGGCAAAAACUGAUUCCACACUUUUUUCUGUCCCGAUUACAUGUGUUCUAAUGGCAACAGGAUUGAAGUAAAUGUUCAGCAUUGCUAUUUUCCUGUCAGGACCCAAAGAUAUUCAGUAUCUAUACUACUGUAGGCUGUGAGCGCUCAAAUGUGAAUCGAUUACUUCUAAGAAAAUUAUUUUCAGGUUACUUUUGUGGAGUUCUACAUGAAUAGUAGUUUUAGCAAUCCAGUGAAUCAAAACAGGAUUAGGCAUCAGCAAAACAGUUCUAAAAUGUCCUUUCUCUUACAAGAGGUGGUAUGGAUAUCAACCACUUGUAUUUGUCUAAUCUGAGCUAUAUUUUUUUGUGAUUGAACCUCAAGCAAGAGC